This 234-nucleotide ribosomal RNA is filed under the name uncultured bacterium. RNAcentral's name for it is "partial 16S ribosomal RNA". It matches the Rfam family "Bacterial small subunit ribosomal RNA", at positions 96 to 334 of the family's 1533-position model. The record is from RNAcentral.
UGGCGGACGGGUGAGUAAUGUCUGGGAAACUGCCCGAUGGAGGGGGAUAACUACUGGAAACGGUAGCUAAUACCGCAUAACGUCGCAAGACCAAAGAGGGGACCUUCGGGCCUCUUGCCAUCGGAUGUGCCCAGAUGGGAUUAGCUAGUAGGUGGGGUAACGGCUCACCCAGGCGACGAUCCCUAGCUGGUCUGAGAGGAUGACCAGCCACACUGGAACUGAGACACGGUCCAG